UACAGAGACCUCAAGCGUUAUCCGGAUUUAUUGGGCGUAAAGGGUCCGUAGGUGGUUUUGUCAGUCAUUCGUUAAAUCUUCAGGCUCAACCUGGAGGCCGCGAGUGAUACUGCAAGACUAGAGGAUGGGAGAGGCAGAUGGAAUUACUGGUGUAGCGGUAAAAUGCGUUAAUAUCAGUAAGAACACCAAAGGCGAAGGCAAUCUGCUGGAACAUUCCUGACACUGAGGGACGAAAGCGUGGGUAGCGAAUCGG
This 253-nucleotide unclassified non-coding RNA is filed under the name Patescibacteria group bacterium. RNAcentral's name for it is "contains 16S-23S intergenic spacer region". It matches the Rfam family "Bacterial small subunit ribosomal RNA", at positions 524 to 776 of the family's 1533-position model. The record is from RNAcentral.